GCCUAACUACCCACUACAUAAUUAAAAUUAAAUAAAAAAUAAAAUCAAUUUUUUUUUCUAAUUUUAGGUUUUACAAAGUCAAAAGAAAUUUGAUGAGUCCUUGACUAUCUCCACGUUUUUUAUUCGGCCCCACUUUAUUGACUGUGCUGCAAAUUAGUCAUUUUCUGCUCUUUUUUAACUCAUAGCAUCCCAAUUGCACUCCUGAUAGGACUAAAGUAUAAAAUCACUAAUUUAGCAGGGAUCAAUUCAAGAAUUAACCAAUUUAAACAUAAAAAAUAUUUAAAUUUAACAUGUUAUCACUUAGUAAUAAUUUGAAGAGUUAGAUGGAAUUAACGACGUAUUAACAUCAAAUGUUGAACAAUUCUCAAAAGUACAUUUCUACUAAAUAGAAAAUGCCAAUAGUUAAUUGACAAAUUUUGUUCUGCAACUAUACCAAACUAGAAUAAAUAUAGUAAAUUAAUAAAUUUUAAUAAAAACUAUCAUCAAUAAUAAUUUGACUAAGAUUUUUAAAUCAGAAAGAUAAAAACUUUAAUUUUUUUAAACAUAGAAAUUAAUAGCAUGUUUGAAAAGAAAUGAGACAUUGAAAUUUUCUUAUUUUCCAUGAUUAUUAAGGCUAUAAAGGGGUAUGGUCAUCUCAAUCAAAACUCCACCUUGCAUUUCCCUAGAUUUAAGUGAUAGUGUAGAAGCAAGAUUGUUGAUCAUUUCCAGGUGGGGAUAAUUACAAAGUUAGAUUCACUUUCUAUAACAUUCAUUCUUCAUCAAAAGGUUAAAAAACUAAUGCACCAGUUCAUCAAUGUUCCAUUUAAAAGAAGAGAUAAAGAACAAGCUAUUACUCUAUCAAACCCAACAGUCAACCUUAAAAACCACCACGAAACAAAGCUAGACGGAUGGGCAACCAACCCAAAUCUCUCUCCAUUUCUAGUAAUCGAAAUAGAUAUAAACUUGAGUUCGUUCCCAGUUUCCAUUGAAAAAGAAAACCUCACAGAAGAAAAAAAGAUACAAAAUUUGUUCAUUAAGCUGUGAAAAUAAAUUCCUAAAGUGAAAAUAAAAUUCCUAGUUUCCAUUCGAAUUAGGUACAGUUCAGGUGACCAAACAAAAGGAUACUAAAACAUAAUCAAAACACAAAAUUUUCCUUCAUUUUCUUGGUGACCAAACAAAAAGAAGAAAGUGAAAAGGAGAUUUCUUACAUGAGUCGGUUGAGGAAGUUAGGUAGGCGCCGACGACAGAGGAAGCAGGUGAGAGGUGGAGAUGAAGGAGGUGAGUGGAGCCGACUUAGGGAUUUUGGUUUUGGAAUUGGGAAUAAGGGGGAGGAGGGCACAAAACUAAAACUAAAAGUAAAG
Molecule: long non-coding RNA, 1340 nt
Filed under: Gossypium barbadense (sea-island cotton)
Lineage: Eukaryota; Viridiplantae; Streptophyta; Magnoliopsida; Malvales; Malvaceae
Description: long non-coding RNA (GBAR_LNC022418)
Source: RNAcentral